CCUGACCACACUCAGCUGUUAAGCAGUACUAAUUGCUGACUGAUUAUUGUUUUCAGCAAUGCCCUGAGGCAUAAAUUGCCCCCAGACUGAUCUAACACAUUUGGCUCCUUUGAAGGGAAAGUACCCAAGUAUUGUGUUGGCUCCUCUAGGUCAUUGGCUUUUCCAUCUAAAUUCUAGAAUGAGUUUCUCAACCUCUGCAAGAUAAUGUGCUGGGAUUUUGAUUGGGAUUGUGUUUUCUACUGAUCAAGCUGAGAAGAUUAAAAAGAAGAAUUUUAAGCAAUGUCAUAUCUUGGAUGAUGCCUUGACGGUUUCCCUGCCUGACUUGCUCCCAUGACCACCACCACUAGGAAGUGGCCCCCAGGCCACCAUGAGCACUGUCAGUAGCAUUUGGUUUCUGGCCCCUGCUCUGGAGUGUUGAGGGACCAAUGGCCAUGGACUCUGUGCUUUGUGCUCUCCCUGGUGGGUUUCCAGUCCUAGAGGGUGCAGGA
This is a long non-coding RNA of Nycticebus coucang (slow loris), 488 nucleotides long. RefSeq lists it as uncharacterized. The transcript has 3 exons. The record is from RefSeq and is a predicted model, not a curated record. Lineage: Eukaryota; Metazoa; Chordata; Mammalia; Primates; Lorisidae.